UUCUAACAUUAUGCACAUCUA
RNAcentral lists this microRNA (21 nucleotides) under Brachypodium distachyon (stiff brome). RNAcentral describes it as "bdi-miR5184". The record is from miRBase by way of RNAcentral. Lineage: Eukaryota; Viridiplantae; Streptophyta; Magnoliopsida; Poales; Poaceae.